UGAUGCUGCUGCAUUAGGCUCCAUCGCUCCAUCCCUCCCUCGGAGAGGAUGGAAAAAACAAGGAGUGGUUAUGUGAUUCCCCACAAGCGGGAGGAGAAGCGCACAAGAGAGAAAGGAAUGGCAGGGAGGGGGGGCGUUUCCCUGCACAGUAUUGCUUAUUCUCACACACUUCAGCAUGGAUACAAUGUAUGGCAUACGGAGCUGACUAAAGGAUGGACAUAACGCUCUUGGUGAGAACAGAAGACACGUCCACUUGAGUUGUCAUCAGCAGCAGCCCAGACAUGGACAGUUGGGAUGGAGGAAGAGGCGGGAGGUGCUGUCCUUAAAGGUUCGCCUUCCGCACAGACCUCGUCCUUCCACGCUGCAAUCUCAUUCAGCCGAAGGGAUGAACACAGAAGAGGAGAAUGAGCUCCAGAGCUAAGAGGAGGAGAUAGAAAGGAAUGGAGAAGGGGGAGG
This is a long non-coding RNA of Thunnus maccoyii (southern bluefin tuna), 456 nucleotides long. RefSeq lists it as uncharacterized. NCBI's taxonomy places the organism in Eukaryota, Metazoa, Chordata, Actinopteri, Scombriformes, Scombridae. The record is from RefSeq and is a predicted model, not a curated record. The transcript is spliced from 3 exons.